RNAcentral lists this non-coding RNA (871 nucleotides) under Oryza sativa Indica Group (long-grained rice). RNAcentral's name for it is "Bacterial large subunit ribosomal RNA". It matches the Rfam family "Bacterial large subunit ribosomal RNA", at positions 2045 to 2912 of the family's 2925-position model. The record is from Rfam by way of RNAcentral. Lineage: Eukaryota; Viridiplantae; Streptophyta; Magnoliopsida; Poales; Poaceae.
AAAUCGCUGUGAAGAUGCAGCGUUCCCGUGGCAAGACGGAAAGACCCCGUGAACCUUUACUAUAGCUUUACACUGAACGUUGAGUUCGUCUGUGUAGGAUAGGUGGGAGGCUAUGAAACUGUGGCGCUAGCUGCAGUGGAGCCAUCCUUGAAAUACCACCCUGUCGUGCUUGACGUUCUAACCUGGGCCCAUUAUCCGGGUCGGGGACCGUGUAUGGUGGGUAGUUUGACUGGGGCGGUCUCCUCCUAAAGAGUAACGGAGGAGCUCGAAGGUACGCUCAGCGCGGUCGGACAUCGCGCACUGUGUGCAAAGGCAUAAGCGUGCUUGACUGCAAGAUCGACGGAUCAAGCAGGUAGGAAACUAGGACUUAGUGAUCCGGUGGUUCUGUAUGGAAGGGCCAUCGCUCAACGGAUAAAAGGUACUCCGGGGAUAACAGGCUGAUACCGCCCAAGAGUUCAUAUCGACGGCGGUGUUUGGCACCUCGAUGUCGGCUCAUCACAUCCUGGGGCUGUAGUCGGUCCCAAGGGUAUGGCUGUUCGCCAUUUAAAGUGGUACGCGAGCUGGGUUCAGAACGUCGUGAGACAGUUCGGUCCCUAUCUGCCAUGGGCGUUGGAGAUUUGAGAGGGGCUGCUCCUAGUACGAGAGGACCGGAGUGGACGAACCUCUGGUGUUCCGGUUGUCACGCCAGUGGCAUUGCCGGGUAGCUAUGUUCGGAAGCGAUAACCGCUGAAAGCAUCUAAGCGGGAAGCGCGCCUCAAGAUGAGAUCUCCCGGGGCACAAGCCCCCUGAAGGAACCAUGUAGACUACGUGGUUGAUAGGUCAGGUGUGUAAGUACAGCAAUGUAUUGAGCUAACUGAUACUAAUGAUCCGU